GUACACGCUGUGACUAGCAUAUCAAUAAGCGGAGGAAAAGAAACUAACAAGGAUUCCCUUAGUAACGGCGAGUGAAGCGGGAAGAGCUCAAAUUUGAAAUCUUCAAGGUUUUACCUUGACGAAUUGUAGUUUAAAGAAGUGUUUUCUGCUGAAGUUUUGGUAAAAGUUCUUUGGAAUAGGACAUCAUAGAGGGUGAGAAUCCCGUAUUUGACCAUUAUUUUCAGCUUUGUGAUACACUUUCAAAGAGUCGGAUUGUUUGGGAAUGCAGUCCAAAAUGGGUGGUAAAUUUCAUCUAAAGCUAAAUAUUGGCGAGUGACCGAUAGCGAACAAGUACCGUGAGGGAAAGAUGAAAAGAACUUUGAAAAGAGAGUUAAACAGUACGUGAAAUUGUCAAAAGGGAAGCGUUUGACACCAGUGUUGUUUUCUCGAAAAUCAAUUAAAAAUGGCUCGAUUUUGUAUUGCUUGAGACCUUAAAAGCUCACUGUACAUUUUUCGUGUCUUUUUUAAUGCACUUUUCGUUUAACAAGUCAACAUCAGUUUCUUUUGUUGUAAAAGGGUCAUUGGAAGGUGGCUUUCUUUUCGGAGAAAGUGUUUAUAGCCUUUGGCCUCUGCAAUCGGAGAGACUGAGGUCUGCAGCGUAGACUCUUCGGGGUUAGAUACAUUUGUGCUAAGUUAUAGCUUUUUAUAGACAACUUGUUGACUAUAAUUAGUCUUGUAGCUUACUCGCUUAUGCUAUUUUACCUACGCUUAGGAUGUUGAGUAGCGACAUACGCAC
RNAcentral lists this ribosomal RNA (775 nucleotides) under uncultured Neocallimastigales. RNAcentral's name for it is "partial large subunit ribosomal RNA". It matches the Rfam family "Eukaryotic large subunit ribosomal RNA", at positions 22 to 649 of the family's 3401-position model. The record is from RNAcentral. Lineage: Eukaryota; Fungi; Neocallimastigomycota; Neocallimastigomycetes; Neocallimastigales.